RNAcentral lists this ribosomal RNA (2763 nucleotides) under Salmonella enterica subsp. enterica serovar Paratyphi B var. L(+) tartrate +. RNAcentral's name for it is "partial 23S ribosomal RNA". It matches the Rfam family "Bacterial large subunit ribosomal RNA". The record is from RNAcentral. Lineage: Bacteria; Pseudomonadati; Pseudomonadota; Gammaproteobacteria; Enterobacterales; Enterobacteriaceae.
ACUAUCAUUAACUGAAUCCAUAGGUUAAUGAGGCGAACCGGGGGAACUGAAACAUCUAAGUACCCCGAGGAAAAGAAAUCAACCGAGAUUCCCCCAGUAGCGGCGAGCGAACGGGGAGGAGCCCAGAGCCUGAAUCAGCAUGUGUGUUAGUGGAAGCGUCUGGAAAGGCGCGCGAUACAGGGUGACAGCCCCGUACACAAAAGCGCAUGUGUUGUGAGCUCGAUGAGUAGGGCGGGACACGUGGUAUCCUGUCUGAAUAUGGGGGGACCAUCCUCCAAGGCUAAAUACUCCUGACUGACCGAUAGUGAACCAGUACCGUGAGGGAAAGGCGAAAAGAACCCCGGCGAGGGGAGUGAAAAAGAACCUGAAACCGUGUACGUACAAGCAGUGGGAGCACAGGUUUACCUGUGUGACUGCGUACCUUUUGUAUAAUGGGUCAGCGACUUAUAUUCUGUAGCAAGGUUAACCGUAUAGGGGAGCCGGAGGGAAACCGAGUCUUAAUUGGGCGUUAAGUUGCAGGGUAUAGACCCGAAACCCGGUGAUCUAGCCAUGGGCAGGUUGAAGGUUGGGUAACACUAACUGGAGGACCGAACCGACUAAUGUUGAAAAAUUAGCGGAUGACCUGUGGCUGGGGGUGAAAGGCCAAUCAAACCGGGAGAUAGCUGGUUCUCCCCGAAAGCUAUUUAGGUAGCGCCUCGUGAAUUCAUCUCCGGGGGUAGAGCACUGUUUCGGCUAGGGGGCCAUCCCGGCUUACCAACCCGAUGCAAACUGCGAAUACCGGAGAAUGUUAUCACGGGAGACACACGGCGGGUGCUAACGUCCGUCGUGAAGAGGGAAACAACCCAGACCGCCAGCUAAGGUCCCAAAGUCAUGGUUAAGUGGGAAACGAUGUGGGAAGGCCCAGACAGCCAGGAUGUUGGCUUAGAAGCAGCCAUCAUUUAAAGAAAGCGUAAUAGCUCACUGGUCGAGUCGGCCUGCGCGGAAGAUGUAACGGGGCUAAACCAUGCACCGAAGCUGCGGCAGCGACGCUUAUGCGUUGUUGGGUAGGGGAGCGUUCUGUAAGCCUGUGAAGGUGGCCUGUGAGGGUUGCUGGAGGUAUCAGAAGUGCGAAUGCUGACAUAAGUAACGAUAAAGCGGGUGAAAAGCCCGCUCGCCGGAAGACCAAGGGUUCCUGUCCAACGUUAAUCGGGGCAGGGUGAGUCGACCCCUAAGGCGAGGCCGAAAGGCGUAGUCGAUGGGAAACGGGUUAAUAUUCCCGUACUUGGUGUUACUGCGAAGGGGGGACGGAGAAGGCUAUGUUGGCCGGGCGACGGUUGUCCCGGUUUAAGCGUGUAGGUGUGUGUUCCAGGUAAAUCCGGUUCACUUUAACACUGAGGCGUGAUGACGAGGCACUACGGUGCUGAAGCAACAAAUGCCCUGCUUCCAGGAAAAGCCUCUAAGCAUCAGGUAACAUCAAAUCGUACCCCAAACCGACACAGGUGGUCAGGUAGAGAAUACCAAGGCGCUUGAGAGAACUCGGGUGAAGGAACUAGGCAAAAUGGUGCCGUAACUUCGGGAGAAGGCACGCUGACACGUAGGUGAAGUGAUUUACUCAUGGAGCUGAAGUCAGUCGAAGAUACCAGCUGGCUGCAACUGUUUAUUAAAAACACAGCACUGUGCAAACACGAAAGUGGACGUAUACGGUGUGACGCCUGCCCGGUGCCGGAAGGUUAAUUGAUGGGGUCAGCGCAAGCGAAGCUCCUGAUCGAAGCCCCGGUAAACGGCGGCCGUAACUAUAACGGUCCUAAGGUAGCGAAAUUCCUUGUCGGGUAAGUUCCGACCUGCACGAAUGGCGUAAUGAUGGCCAGGCUGUCUCCACCCGAGACUCAGUGAAAUUGAACUCGCUGUGAAGAUGCAGUGUACCCGCGGCAAGACGGAAAGACCCCGUGAACCUUUACUAUAGCUUGACACUGAACAUUGAGCCUUGAUGUGUAGGAUAGGUGGGAGGCUUUGAAGUGUGGACGCCAGUCUGCAUGGAGCCGACCUUGAAAUACCACCCUUUAAUGUUUGAUGUUCUAACGUGGACCCGUAAUCCGGGUUGCGGACAGUGUCUGGUGGGUAGUUUGACUGGGGCGGUCUCCUCCUAAAGAGUAACGGAGGAGCACGAAGGUUGGCUAAUCCUGGUCGGACAUCAGGAGGUUAGUGCAAUGGCAUAAGCCAGCUUGACUGCGAGCGUGACGGCGCGAGCAGGUGCGAAAGCAGGUCAUAGUGAUCCGGUGGUUCUGAAUGGAAGGGCCAUCGCUCAACGGAUAAAAGGUACUCCGGGGAUAACAGGCUGAUACCGCCCAAGAGUUCAUAUCGACGGCGGUGUUUGGCACCUCGAUGUCGGCUCAUCACAUCCUGGGGCUGAAGUAGGUCCCAAGGGUAUGGCUGUUCGCCAUUUAAAGUGGUACGCGAGCUGGGUUUAGAACGUCGUGAGACAGUUCGGUCCCUAUCUGCCGUGGGCGCUGGAGAACUGAGGGGGGCUGCUCCUAGUACGAGAGGACCGGAGUGGACGCAUCACUGGUGUUCGGGUUGUCAUGCCAAUGGCACUGCCCGGUAGCUAAAUGCGGAAGAGAUAAGUGCUGAAAGCAUCUAAGCACGAAACUUGCCCCGAGAUGAGUUCUCCCUGAGACUUAGAGUCUCCUGAAGGAACGUUGAAGACGACGACGUUGAUAGGCCGGGUGUGUAAGCGCAGCGAUGCGUUGAGCUAACCGGUACUAAUGAACCGUGAGGCUUAACCUU